Molecule: ribosomal RNA, 253 nt
Filed under: uncultured bacterium
Lineage: Bacteria
Description: partial 16S ribosomal RNA
Rfam family: Archaeal small subunit ribosomal RNA
Source: RNAcentral
UACCAGCACCCAGAGUGGUCGGUACGAUUAUUGGGCCUAAAGCAUCCGUAGCCGGUCCUACAAGUCUUCCGUUAAAUCCACCUGCUUAACAGAUGGGCUGCGGAAGAUACUAUAGGGCUAGGAGGCGGGAGAGGCAAGCGGUACUCAGUGGGUAGGGGUAAAAUCCUCUGAUCCAUUGAAGACCACCAGUGGCGAAGGCGGCUUGCCAGAACGCGCUCGACGGUGAGGGAUGAAAGCUGGGGGAGCAAACCGG